AUUCUGCCCAUGCGGGGAAGGAUGAGAAGCUUCGACUAAGGUUCGGCUCGAGCGUCAGCGAGAGAGCGUUGCCGCAGGCAACGACCCG
RNAcentral lists this small RNA (88 nucleotides) under Escherichia coli. Its description in RNAcentral is "partial RtT sRNA". It matches the Rfam family "RtT RNA", at positions 1 to 86 of the family's 130-position model. Rfam says of the family: This family represents a bacterial cis-regulatory element known as RtT RNA. The record is from RNAcentral. Lineage: Bacteria; Pseudomonadati; Pseudomonadota; Gammaproteobacteria; Enterobacterales; Enterobacteriaceae.